Molecule: ribosomal RNA, 335 nt
Filed under: Rhodosorus marinus
Lineage: Eukaryota; Rhodophyta; Stylonematophyceae; Stylonematales; Stylonemataceae
Description: partial Bacterial large subunit ribosomal RNA
Rfam family: Bacterial large subunit ribosomal RNA
Source: RNAcentral
GCCAUUUAAAGUGGUACGCGAGCUGGGUUUAGAACGUCGUGAGACAGUUCGGUCCCUAUCUGCCGUGGACGUUGGAGAUUUGAGGAAAGCUGCUCCUAGUACGAGAGGACCGGAGUGGACGAACCUCUGGUGUUCGGGUUGUGACGCCAGUCGCAUUGCCCGGUAGCUAUGUUCGGACAGGAUAACCGCUGAAAGCAUCUAAGCGGGAAGCCCCUUCCAAGAUGAGAUCUCCCUGGACCCUCGAGGUCCCUGAAGAGCCGUUCAAGACCAGGACGUUGAUAGGUCGGGUGUGUAAGCGCUGCGAGGCGUUGAGCUAACCGAUACUAAUUGCUCGU